This 253-nucleotide ribosomal RNA is filed under the name uncultured bacterium. Its description in RNAcentral is "partial 16S ribosomal RNA". It matches the Rfam family "Bacterial small subunit ribosomal RNA", at positions 524 to 776 of the family's 1533-position model. The record is from RNAcentral.
GACGUAGGGCGCGAGCGUUGUCCGGAAUUAUUGGGCGUAAAGAGCUCGUAGGCGGUUAGUCGCGUCUGCUGUGAAAACUCGGGGCUUAACUCCGGGCCUGCAGUGGGUACGGGCUGACUAGAGUGCGGUAGGGGAGACUGGAAUUCCUGGUGUAGCGGUGAAAUGCGCAGAUAUCAGGAGGAACACCGGUGGCGAAGGCGGGUCUCUGGGCCGUAACUGACGCUGAGGAGCGAAAGCGUGGGGAGCGAACAGG